CCCUCUCUCUUUCUCUCUAGUGUUUUUCUCUAUUCUCUCCACACAAAAUAACAUAAGCUUAGCUAGCUAUUUAUACACAAAUUCAAAACAAGAUAAUUCAACCUUCAAGUGUGAAGGCGGUCGUGGACGGUGGUGUGAAGGCGGCUGGCGGCAUGCAGCUGGUGGCUGGCGGCUGGUCGGUGGCAGCUGGUGGUUGCCUUCCUUGACCAUCUAGAUUGAGUUUAAUAUUCAACAGCUGACACCUCGAAUCCGUACCCAUACCAAAGCGUGGG
Molecule: long non-coding RNA, 272 nt
Filed under: Populus trichocarpa (black cottonwood)
Lineage: Eukaryota; Viridiplantae; Streptophyta; Magnoliopsida; Malpighiales; Salicaceae
Description: long non-coding RNA (PTRI_LNC004358)
Source: RNAcentral